This is a non-coding RNA of Podarcis lilfordi (Lilford's wall lizard), 72 nucleotides long. NCBI's taxonomy places the organism in Eukaryota, Metazoa, Chordata, Lepidosauria, Squamata, Lacertidae. The record is from the annotation of a GenBank genome assembly.
UCAGGUGGCGCAAUGGGUUGGUGCAUCUGGCUGUUAUUCGGAAGGCUGGUGGUUCGAGCCCACCCAGGACAG